AGUUAUUUGAAAUGGUUUGCCAGCACUUUUUUUCCCUACUCCAUAGUUUAAGAUAGCAUAUAAUUAAAAGUUGAAAACAAUGAAAUGGUUGUGGAACUAUUGGAGCACAUGUUUAUGUGCAAGCUUUCCUGCAUUGAACAAAGUUAGGCAUGUUAUUGUUUUCCUGGAUUAAUGAAUUUUUUUUUUAACAUUGUAAAGUGGUACUUGAGUCCAUAUAUAUUUUCUAUGGAAAUUGCAGCCAGAAAUUG
This 248-nucleotide unclassified non-coding RNA is filed under the name Hevea brasiliensis (rubber tree). The record is from RNAcentral. Lineage: Eukaryota; Viridiplantae; Streptophyta; Magnoliopsida; Malpighiales; Euphorbiaceae.